This 340-nucleotide ribosomal RNA is filed under the name Ehrlichia canis. Its description in RNAcentral is "bacterial SSU rRNA". It matches the Rfam family "Bacterial small subunit ribosomal RNA", at positions 115 to 490 of the family's 1533-position model. The record is from RNAcentral. Lineage: Bacteria; Pseudomonadati; Pseudomonadota; Alphaproteobacteria; Rickettsiales; Anaplasmataceae.
GCGUAGGAAUCUACCUAGUAGUACGGAAUAGCCAUUAGAAAUGGUGGGUAAUACUGUAUAAUCCCCGAGGGGGAAAGAUUUAUCGCUAUUAGAUGAGCCUACGUUAGAUUAGCUAGUUGGUGAGGUAAUGGCUUACCAAGGCUAUGAUCUAUAGCUGGUCUGAGAGGACGAUCAGCCACACUGGAACUGAGAUACGGUCCAGACUCCUACGGGAGGCAGCAGUGGGGAAUAUUGGACAAUGGGCGAAAGCCUGAUCCAGCUAUGCCGCGUGAGUGAAGAAGGCCUUCGGGUUGUAAAACUCUUUCAAUAGGGAAGAUAAUGACGGUACCUAUAGAAAAAG